UACGUAGGGUGCGAGCGUUGUCCGGAAUUAUUGGGCGUAAAGGGCUCGUAGGCGGUUUGUCGCGUCGGGAGUGAAAACCCAGGGCUUAACCCUGGGCUGGCUUCCGAUACGGGCAGACUAGAGGUAUGCAGGGGAGAACGGAAUUCCUGGUGUAGCGGUGAAAUGCGCAGAUAUCAGGAGGAACACCGGUGGCGAAGGCGGUUCUCUGGGCAUGUCCUGACGCUGAGGAGCGAAAGUGUGGGGAGCGAACAGG
RNAcentral lists this ribosomal RNA (253 nucleotides) under uncultured bacterium. Its description in RNAcentral is "partial 16S ribosomal RNA". It matches the Rfam family "Bacterial small subunit ribosomal RNA", at positions 524 to 776 of the family's 1533-position model. The record is from RNAcentral.